Non-coding RNA from Aspergillus ochraceoroseus IBT 24754, 88 nucleotides. The record is from the annotation of a RefSeq genome assembly. NCBI's taxonomy places the organism in Eukaryota, Fungi, Ascomycota, Eurotiomycetes, Eurotiales, Aspergillaceae.
GCCUGGAUGGUCUAGAGGUAUGAUUCGUCGUUCGGGUUCAAAACAUCUUGACUCGACGAGGUCCUGGGUUCGAUUCCCAGUUCAGGCC